UUAUAUGUUUGCAAAUUUAACAUUGAAAAUAGAAGUCAAAAUUUAUAUUGACUGUCAAUCAACCGCUGCCUGCACAGCUACCGCCAUUGCUGCCUCUGAUUCCACUGGCCAGCCUGAGGUCGCUUAAUGGUCUUCUUUCUGAGUGCUGCUGCUACAGAAGAAACCACUGCCCUGGAUGCAACUGAAGCUGACACUACAGCUGAUCCCCAGAGAUCGCCUGGAGACACUGCCCCCAGAGCUGCAGUAGUAGCUGCCAGUGCAGCCACCACUACUGCUGACCCACUGCCUGCUGCCAACAACCACUACCACUACCUUUGCUCCCACAGCCUAGAGGACUGCUCCCGGAGAGACUCCAGGUUUGGUUGCAUGUGGCUGCACCCAUUUUGGGUCACCAGCCAGGGCGUGAGGACUGGGUGCCAGCAAGGUUUACUACCACAAGAGCCUCUGUCUGGGGACUCCAGCUGGGACCUGCAGGUCCAAUGUGGAGGUGCCUGCAGGUUUGGAGGAGCCUGUGGUCUUCCUGCUGAGUGUGCUGGUGGCCAUUGUCUUGCUGCUGAAUUUAGGGGUUGCUCCUUUGCAUGAGUGUAUCCCUGGUGGUCUCUCUGUAAGUAGGAGCAGCAUUGAGAUCUUGGGACUGCAGUGUGACCUAUCCUGAGGUAUCUGAAGCCCAGAUUGGUGGGAUAGAGACUGGGUUUGUGAGGGCUGAUCUGGGUUUGGUGAUCCCAAGAGAUGUCAGAGACAGAGCAGAGAAACUGUGAACACUGACAGAGAUAGUUUGACUUUCCAGCAAUAUUUAUUUUACUUUAUUUUUUGAUUCACUAAUCUUUCUAUCAUAUUUGGAGCAGAAUUUUUUUAUGCAUCGGUGUGUGUAUGACAAUAAUAUAUGAUUGGUGUUUUGCAUUUUUGUUGUAUUCUUAUGUCUUUAAUUUUUUUUUCUCUUUGUUCAUAUUUUUCCUCUCUCUUGUCUAUUUUCUUUCCAACUUUUCUCCAACCAACAGACAAUCUUUGUUGGCUCCUCCUCCACUCUUCCUGUGAAUUUUUACUUCUAGCUUUUCUCUUCCUCCCUCAUGAAAAUUGCAUACUAAUCUACCUUUGUUCUCUCAUCCAGCAUUUAAAAUUGUAAAUCAUUUUAACAAAUAUUCUGUUUGUACUAUGGAUAGUUACUGAACUCAUCAUUUUGUUUCAAUGUAAGAAAGCAGUAGACGCCUUAGUGGGAGCUAAUAUAUUAAGGCUAUAUAUUGUGUUCAUUGGGUGCUGUUGAUAUUGGUCUUACCAGUAAAGGCAAAGCCCUGGAAACCUUCAGGGACACUAUAGGUCUAUGGGGUAGAAAUUAUCCUGCCUUAGAUCCAUACUUUUAAAUGGGAAAACACACCAACAACAUGAAAAAACAAGAGGAUAAAGUGCCCCUGACAAACCAAGAUGUUUCAAUAACAGAAGCCACUGAUAACACAGUAGAAGAAAUGUCCAAGAAGGAGUUCAGAUUGUACAUAGUUCAACUGAUAUAUGAAGUAAAGAAUACUAUAAAAUCAAAGAAAUAAUACAGGAAAUGAAAGACCAUUUCAAUAAAGAGUUAGAGAUCAUAAAAAAAUUAGAAACCUUUGAAAUGUAGGAAUCAGUAAACCAAAUUAUAAAUUCAAUAGAAAGCAUCACCAACAGAUUAGACCACUUGGAAGACAGAACCUUAGACAAUGAAGACAAAAUAUAUAACCUUGAAAGCAGAGUUAAACAUGCAGAGAAGAUAGUAAGAAACCAUGAACAAAACAUCCAAGAAUUAUGGCAUAACAUGAAAAGAAUAAAUUUAAGAGGUAUUGGAAUAGAUGAAGGAGCAGAGAUACAAACCAAAGAAAUGCACAAUUUUCAAUGAUAUAAAAAAUUUCCAAACCUAAAGAAUGGAAUGGAAAAUCAAAUAUGAGAGGCUUAUAGGACCCCAAAUGUACAAAAUUACAGCAGACCCACACAAAGACACAUUAAAUGAGAAUGACUAACUCACAGAAUCAAAAUAAAAUCUUAAAGAAUGUGAAAGAAAAAAAAUCAAAUUAUGUAUGGGGGAAACCAAUUUGGAUCUCAACUGAUUCUCAGCCCAGACCCUCAAGCUCGGAGGACCUAGAAUAAUAUAUUUCAAGCUCUGAAAGAAAAUGGAUGCCAAACAAGAAUUUUAUAUCCAGCAAAAUUGUUUCAGAUUUGAAGAUAAAAUUAAAGCAUUCAAUGAUAAACAAAAAUUAAAAGAAUUCACAAUUAGAAAGCCUACACUACAGAGCAUUCUCAACAAGAUAUUCCAUGAGGAUGAAGUGGAAAAAAAGUGAAAAUCAGCAACAGGAGAAUCUACACUAAAGUGACACAACCAAAUGAGAAACUAAAACAAAUCAAAAACCAGAAAUAAAUAAAAAUGACAGGGAAUACAAAUCACAUCUCAAUAAAAACCCUGAAUGUUAACAGCCUAAACUCAUCAAUCAAAAGAAACAGAUGGGCAGAUUGAAUUAAAAAGCAAGACCUAACAAUAUGCUGUCUUCAAGAGACUCACCUCAUGGACAAAGACAUCCACAGGCUGAAGGUGAAAGAAAUGGAAAAAACUUAUCACUCAUGUGGAUUGCAUAAACAAGCAGGGGUUUCCAUUCUCAUUUCAGAUAAAGUAGAUUCAAACCAAAGUUAAUCAGAAGAGAAAAAGAAGGACAUUUCAUAAGUCUUAAGAGGAGUAUAUAUAAGCAGGAUUAAACAAUUAUAAAUAUUUAUGCCCCAAACAAUGGAGCAUCUAUGUACAUCAGCAAACCCUUCUCAAUUUCAAGAGACAAAUAGACCCUACACAAUAAUACUGGGUGACAUUAACACACCAUUUUCACUACUGGACAGAUCUUCCAAAUAAAAACUAAAUAAGGAAACUAUAGAACUAAAUAAUACAAUUAAUAAUUUAGACUUAAUAGACAUAUUUUAGAAUAUUUCAUCCAUCAACAAGCAAAUAUACUUUCUUCUCAACAGUACAUGUCUUCUUCUCUAAAAUAGACCAUAUCUUAUGCCACAAAGCAACUCUUAGUAAAUAUAAAAAAAACAGAGAUAAUACCCUGCAUUCUAUCAAACCACAAUGGAGUAAAAUUAGAAAUCAAUGAUAAAAAGAAAUUAGAAAUCAAUGAAAAAAAGAAGCUACUGUAACAAAUGGAGACUAAAUAAUACACAAUUGAAUGAUGAAUGGAUAGUAGAAGAAAUCAAGAAUGAAAUAAAAAUUUCUUAGAGAUAAAUGAGAGCACUGAUAUAACAUCAAAAUCUCUGGGUCACUAUGAAGGCAGUACUGAUAGGAAAGUUUAUUGCACUGAGUGCAUUCAUUAAAAGAAUAAAAAAUCAACAAAUAAAUGACCUAACACUACAUCCCAAAGCCCUAGAAAAACAAGAGAAAUCAACACCCAAAGCAGAAGACAGAAAAUAAUUAAAAUCAGAGGUGAAAUUAAUAAAAUUGAAGCAAAAGAAAAAAUUGAAAAAAAUUGGCAAAACAAAAAGUUGGUUUUUUGAAAAAAUAAAUAAAAUAGAUAAACCCCUGGCCAUGCUAAGAAAGAGAAAAGGAGAGAAAACUCAAAUUACUAAAACACAUGAUGAAGAAGGAAAUAUCACAACAGACAUGUCUAAAAUACAGAAAAAAAUUAGAAACUAUUUUGAAAAUUUAUACUCUAAUAUAAUAGAAAAUAUCAAAGACAUCCACAAAUUCCUAGAGACAUAUGACCUACCCAAACUGAAUGAGGAGGUCAUACAUGAUUUAUUUAAAGAGAUCAAUUUUAAGUAAUGGUAUAGAAAACACCAUCAAAAGCCUAUUAACCAAGAAAAGCCCAGGACCAGAUGUAUUCUCAGCCAAGUUCUACAAGACUUUCAAAUAAGAAUUAACACCAAUGCUCCUCAAAAUAUUCCAUGAAAUAGAAAAAGAGAAAACCUUUUCAAACUCAUUCUAUGAGGCUAAUAUCACUCAGAUACCAAAACCAGACAAAAACACAUCAAGGAAAGAAAACUUCAGACCAAUAUCCCUGAUGAACAUAGAUGCAAAAAUUCUCAAUAAAGUUCUGGCAAAUUGCAUACAAAAACAUAUUAAAAAGGUAGUGCAUCACAAUCAAAUGAGAUUCAUUCCAGGGAUGCAGGGUUGGUUCAACAUAUGGAAAUCAAUAAACAUAAUUCAUCAUAUUAAUGGACUUAAAUACAAG
Molecule: long non-coding RNA, 4175 nt
Filed under: Marmota monax (woodchuck)
Lineage: Eukaryota; Metazoa; Chordata; Mammalia; Rodentia; Sciuridae
Source: RNAcentral